Molecule: long non-coding RNA, 1361 nt
Filed under: Equus caballus (horse)
Lineage: Eukaryota; Metazoa; Chordata; Mammalia; Perissodactyla; Equidae
Description: lncRNA (ENSECAG00000047539.1)
Source: RNAcentral
CAGGUGGGCGGGGCCAGCGCCGGGAAGCCCCGCCCCAGCCGGGCUCGCGUCCGGUGCGGAGGGAUUCUCUUGACUCCACGUGGAAAGCCGGCCGGGGGUCGGGUCCGGAGGGCGUAGGGGGCAUAUCCUCCCCGGAUCCCGACGGCGCCAGGCCUCGCAGGGCCGGCUGGAAGAGCCAGGGGCCAGGACCGCUGCUGCCGCCAGGGGACUAGAGACCCCGCUGGGCGCCCCUGGGUGCUGGCGGGGGCGGACCCGCGGGGCUCGGCGCGUGAGGUCGCCUGCCGCCCCUUCCUCGUCCGACCGCCGGGACGUCGCCGGCCAGAGUGACAGCGCCCGGGACCCUGGACCGAGGCGGGGGGAACAAACAGCGGGCCCGGGGCAGAGGGGCCUCCGGCAUUUGAGCUAAAACCUGAAAGUUACAACCAGUGAGACAUCCGUAGACCGAUGAAGUGCCCUCUGCACAGCACACCAGGACACCUGAGAGAUCCAUACGUCUGCACAUCCGAAGGUGGGUCGACUGGAUCCUGUGGAGGCAGUGAAACCAGAGAAGCAUUGGUGGCAGCUCCCAAACCAGAGGCUCCAGGAACCACAGUGGCACCCACAGCUCAACCCCCUUGCCCCUGGCAGUGGCAGCAGCACCUGCAGCCCUGGCCUUCCUGGCUGCAGGGGAUGCAUCUGAGGCCCUGGUGCAGCCACAGCAGCAGCACCUGUGACCUGAUGUUCCAGAGACUGCAAUGGUGGUUAGAGCCAGAGCUUCAGAAAUCACUACAGCGUCUGCAACCUGAGGCUUCAGGAAUCAAAGUGGUGCCUGUGAUGUGGGUAUCGCACCCUGUGGUGGUGGCAGUGGUGCCUUCGACCCCGGCCUGCCUGGCAGUGGCGGUGGUGCUUGUGAAUUUGGCACCCUCAGCAGCAGCAGUGCCACCACCCCUAGAAAACCUGGUAACAGCAGCAGAGGCAACACAAGUGACUCUGGCCCCCCGGCUACAGGGAACUGGGCAGCAGUGGCAGCAGAGCCCGUAACCCCAGUUCUCUCUAGCUGCAGUGGUGCCUGCAACCUGACCCCCCCAUCCAUGGUGGUGAUGGCACCUGUGAACCCAACAAUCCUGGACACAGUGGAGGCACCUGCUACCUCAGCUCCUGCCCCAUCUUCCCUCAUGACCUAGAUGACCCCAGAAGCAGCAGAGGUUCUCGCCAGCCUGGUGACCCCAGUAGUGGUGCCCCUGACCCCAACAACACUGGCAGCAGCAAGGCACCAGUGACCUUGGAGGCAAAAGCAGCAACAACGAGAGCACCGACACCACCUCUGGAAGAGGCAGUAGAGGGUGGAAGGCACUGGUUCUCAGCUAUAACCAGAGGCAGCU